RNAcentral lists this ribosomal RNA (563 nucleotides) under uncultured bacterium. RNAcentral's name for it is "bacterial SSU rRNA". It matches the Rfam family "Bacterial small subunit ribosomal RNA", at positions 335 to 916 of the family's 1533-position model. The record is from RNAcentral.
ACUCCUACGGGAGGCAGCAGUGGGGAAUAUUGGGCAAUGGGCUAAGGCCUGACCCAGCAAUGCCGCGUGGAGGAAGAAGCCUUUCGGGGUGUAAACUCCUUUUAUCAGGGAAGAAGAUGACGGUACCUGAUGAAUAAGCUCCGGCUAACUCCGUGCCAGCAGCCGCGGUAAUACGGGGGGAGCGAGCGUUACUCGGAAUCACUGGGCGUAAAGGGUGCGUAGGCGGAUUGGUAAGUUAGGAGUGAAAGCCCACAGCUCAACUGUGGAACUGCUUCUAAAACUGCUAAUCUAGAGUCCGGGAGAGGCUGCGGGAAUUCCUGGUGUAGGGGUGAAACCCGUAGAGAUCAGGAGGAAUGCCGAAAGCGAAGGCGCGCAGCUGGAACGGAACUGACGCUGAGGCACGAAAGCGUGGGGAGCAAACAGGAUUAGAUACCCUGGUAGUCCACGCCCUAAACGAUGGCCACUAGUGGUUGGGGGGACAGUCCUUCAGUCACGCAGCAAACGCGAUAAGUGGCCCGCCUGGGGAGUACGGCCGCAAGGCUAAAACUCAAAGGAAUUGACGG